GAUGAACGCUGGCGGCGUGCCUAAUACAUGCAAGUCGAGCGAACAGACGAGGAGCUUGCUCCUCUGACGUUAGCGGCGGACGGGUGAGUAACACGUGGAUAACCUACCUAUAAGACUGGGAUAACUUCGGGAAACCGGAGCUAAUACCGGAUAAUAUAUUGAACCGCAUGGUUCAAUAGUGAAAGACGGUUUUGCUGUCACUAUAGAUGGAUCCGCGCCGCAUUAGCUAGUUGGUAAGGUAACGGCUUACCAAGGCAACGAUGCGUAGCCGACCUGAGAGGGUGAUCGGCCACACUGGAACUGAGACACGGUCCAGACUCCUACGGGAGGCAGCAGUAGGGAAUCUUCCGCAAUGGGCGAAAGCCUGACGGAGCAACGCCGCGUGAGUGAUGAAGGUCUUCGGAUCGUAAAACUCUGUUAUUAGGGAAGAACAAAUGUGUAAGUAACUAUGCACGUCUUGACGGUACCUAAUCAGAAAGCCACGGCUAACUACGUG
This 496-nucleotide ribosomal RNA is filed under the name uncultured bacterium. RNAcentral describes it as "partial 16S ribosomal RNA". It matches the Rfam family "Bacterial small subunit ribosomal RNA", at positions 28 to 507 of the family's 1533-position model. The record is from RNAcentral.